UAGGGUGUAGCUCAGUGGUAGAGCACCUGCCUAGCAUUUGAGGCCCUGGAUUCUAUUCCCAGCACCACAA
RNAcentral lists this transfer RNA (70 nucleotides) under Heterocephalus glaber (naked mole-rat). It matches the Rfam family "tRNA". From Rfam's summary of the family: Transfer RNA (tRNA) molecules are approximately 80 nucleotides in length. Their secondary structure includes four short double-helical elements and three loops (D, anti-codon, and T loops). Lineage: Eukaryota; Metazoa; Chordata; Mammalia; Rodentia; Bathyergidae. The record is from Rfam by way of RNAcentral.